RNAcentral lists this ribosomal RNA (1457 nucleotides) under uncultured organism. Its description in RNAcentral is "SSU rRNA". It matches the Rfam family "Bacterial small subunit ribosomal RNA". The record is from RNAcentral.
CAGGACGAACGCUGGCGGCGUGCCUAAUACAUGCAAGUAGAACGCUGAAGAGAGGAGCUUGCUCUUCUUGGAUGAGUUGCGAACGGGUGAGUAACGCGUAGGUAACCUGCCUUGUAGCGGGGGAUAACUAUUGGAAACGAUAGCUAAUACCGCAUAACAAUGGAUGACACAUGUCAUUUAUUUGAAAGGGGCAAUUGCUCCACUACAAGAUGGACCUGCGUUGUAUUAGCUAGUAGGUGAGGUAACGGCUCACCUAGGCGACGAUACAUAGCCGACCUGAGAGGGUGAUCGGCCACACUGGGACUGAGACACGGCCCAGACUCCUACGGGAGGCAGCAGUAGGGAAUCUUCGGCAAUGGGGGCAACCCUGACCGAGCAACGCCGCGUGAGUGAAGAAGGUUUUCGGAUCGUAAAACUCUGUUGUAAGUCAAGAACGAGUGUGAGAGUGGAAAGUUCACACUGUGACGGUAGCUUACCAGAAAGGGACGGCUAACUACGUGCCAGCAGCCGCGGUAAUACGUAGGUCCCGAGCGUUGUCCGGAUUUAUUGGGCGUAAAGCGAGCGCAGGCGGUUUGAUAAGUCUGAAGUUAAAGGCUGUGGCUCAACCAUAGUUCGCUUUGGAAACUGUCAAACUUGAGUGCCAGAAGGGGAGAGUGGAAUUCCAUGUGUAGCGGUGAAAUGCGUAGAUAUAUGGAGGAACACCGGUGGCGAAAGCGGCUCUCUGGUCUGUAACUGACGCUGAGGCUCGAAAGCGUGGGGAGCGAACAGGAUUAGAUACCCUGGUAGUCCACGCCGUAAACGAUGAGUGCUAGGUGUUGGAUCCUUUCCGGGAUUCAGUGCCGCAGCUAACGCAUUAAGCACUCCGCCUGGGGAGUACGACCGCAAGGUUGAAACUCAAAGGAAUUGACGGGGGCCCGCACAAGCGGUGGAGCAUGUGGUUUAAUUCGAAGCAACGCGAAGAACCUUACCAGGUCUUGACAUCCCGAUGCUAUUUCUAGAGAUAGAAAGUUACUUCGGUACAUCGGUGACAGGUGGUGCAUGGUUGUCGUCAGCUCGUGUCGUGAGAUGUUGGGUUAAGUCCCGCAACGAGCGCAACCCCUAUUGUUAGUUGCCAUCACUCAGUUGGGCACUCUAGCGAGACUGCCGGUAAUAAACCGGAGGAAGGUGGGGAUGACGUCAAAUCAUCAUGCCCCUUAUGACCUGGGCUACACACGUGCUACAAUGGUUGGUACAACGAGUUGCGAGUCGGUGACGGCAAGCUAAUCUCUUAAAGCCAAUCUCAGUUCGGAUUGUAGGCUGCAACUCGCCUACAUGAAGUCGGAAUCGCUAGUAAUCGCGGAUCAGCACGCCGCGGUGAAUACGUUCCCGGGCCUUGUACACACCGCCCGUCACACCACGAGAGUUUGUAACACCCGAAGUCGAUGAGGUAACCUUUUGGAGCCAGCCGCCUAAGGUGG